ACCGUAAAAUUGCAGUUGAUACUGGGGACCUUGAGUGCGGCAGAGGCAGGCGGAAUUCGUGGUGUAGCGGUGAAAUGCUUAGAUAUCACGAAGAACUCCGAUUGCGAAGGCAGCUUGCUGGACCGUAACUGACGUUGAUGCUCGAAAGUGCGGGUAUCAAACAGGAUUAGAUACCCUGGUAGUCCGCACAGUAAACGAUGAAUACUCGCUGUUGGCGAUAUACUGCCAGCGGCCAAGCGAAAGCGUUAAGUAUUCCACCUGGGGAGUACGCCGGCAACGGUGAAACUCAAAGGAAUUGACGGGGGCCCGCACAAGCGGAGGAACAUGUGGUUUAAUUCGAUGAUACGCGAGGAACCUUACCCGGGCUUGAACUGCAGCGGAAUGAUUUGGAAACAGAUCAGCGAGCAAUCGCCGCUGUGGAGGUGCUGCAUGGUUGUCGUCAGCUCGUGCCGUGAGGUGUCGGCUUAAGUGCCAUAACGAGCGCAACCCUUACCGAUAGUUGCCAUCAGGUGACGCUGGGGACUCUAUCGGGACUGCCGUCGUAAGAUGUGAGGAAGGUGGGGAUGACGUCAAAUCAGCACGGCCCUUACGUCCGGGGCUACACACGUGUUACAAUGGGGGGUACAGCAGGCCGCUACCGGGCGACCGGAUGCCAAUCCCUAAAACCCCUCUCAGUUCGGACUGGAGUCUGCAACCCGACUCCACGAAGCUGGAUUCGCUAGUAAUCGCGCAUCAGCCACGGCGCGGUGAAUACGUUCCCGGGCCUUGUACACACCGCCCGUCAAGCCAUGAAAGCCGGGGGUACCUGAAGUGCGUAACCGCAAGGAGCGCCCUAGGGUAAAACUGGUGAUUGGGGCUAAGUCGUAACAAGGUAACCA
RNAcentral lists this ribosomal RNA (878 nucleotides) under uncultured bacterium. Its description in RNAcentral is "bacterial SSU rRNA". It matches the Rfam family "Bacterial small subunit ribosomal RNA", at positions 612 to 1502 of the family's 1533-position model. The record is from RNAcentral.